CCUACGGGUGGCUGCAGUGGGGAACAUUGGACAAUGGGCGAAAGCCUGAUCCAGCCAUGCCGCGUGUGUGAAGAAGGCCUUCGGGUUGUAAAGCACUUUCAGUGGGGAAGAAAGCCUUGGGGCUAAUACCCUCGAGGAAGGACAUCACCCACAGAAGAAGCACCGGCUAACUCCGUGCCAGCAGCCGCGGUAAUACGGAGGGUGCGAGCGUUAAUCGGAAUUACUGGGCGUAAAGCGCGCGUAGGCGGUCUGAUAAGCCGGUUGUGAAAGCCCCGGGCUCAACCUGGGAACGGCAUCCGGAACUGUCAGGCUAGAGUGCAGGAGAGGAAGGUAGAAUUCCCGGUGUAGCGGUGAAAUGCGUAGAGAUCGGGAGGAAUACCAGUGGCGAAGGCGGUCUUCUGGACUGACACUGACGCUGAGGUGCGAAAGCGUGGGUAGCAAACAGGAUUAGAUACCCCUGUAGUC
RNAcentral lists this ribosomal RNA (465 nucleotides) under Vreelandella stevensii. Its description in RNAcentral is "partial 16S ribosomal RNA". It matches the Rfam family "Bacterial small subunit ribosomal RNA", at positions 338 to 795 of the family's 1533-position model. The record is from RNAcentral. Lineage: Bacteria; Pseudomonadati; Pseudomonadota; Gammaproteobacteria; Oceanospirillales; Halomonadaceae.